GACGAACGCUGGCGGCGUGCUUAACACAUGCAAGUCGAACGGAAAGGCCCUGCUUUUGUGGGGUGCUCGAGUGGCGAACGGGUGAGUAACACGUGAGUAACCUGCCCUUGACUUUGGGAUAACUUCAGGGAACUGGGGCUAAUACCGGAUAGGAGCUCCUGCUGCAUGGUGGGGGUUGGAAAGUUUCGGCGGUUGGGGAUGGACUCUCGGCUUAUCAGCUUGUUGGUGGGGUGGUGGCUUACCAAGGCUUUGACGGGUAGCCGGCCUGAGAGGGUGACCGGCCACAUUGGGACUGAGAUACGGCCCAGACUCCUACGGGGGGCAGCAGUGGAGAAUAUUGCACAAUGGGCGGAAGCCUGAUUCAGCAACGCCCCGUGCGGGAUGACGGCCUUCGGGUUGUAAACCGCUUUCGCCUGUGACGAAGCGUGAGUGACGGUAAUGGGUAAAGAAGCACCGGCUAGCUACGUG
Molecule: ribosomal RNA, 468 nt
Filed under: uncultured bacterium
Lineage: Bacteria
Description: partial 16S ribosomal RNA
Rfam family: Bacterial small subunit ribosomal RNA
Source: RNAcentral